Long non-coding RNA from Dama dama (fallow deer), 315 nucleotides. RefSeq lists it as uncharacterized. NCBI's taxonomy places the organism in Eukaryota, Metazoa, Chordata, Mammalia, Artiodactyla, Cervidae. The transcript has 3 exons. The record is from RefSeq and is a predicted model, not a curated record.
CACCUGCCUCAGGCUCAGCCUCCCAGCUUCUCUGGCCAAACUGUCCUCACACAACCCCGGAGUGCCCCGUUCCCAGGAUCCCGGAGAGGGAGCAGAGAUCAAUGGAUUCCAGGUGGCUAAGAGGCACGGAGCGCAACUGUGCCAGACGCGCACCAUCUCCGCAAGGAUCAUAUGGCUUAGUGCCGAUCAGCUUCCUGCAAGGAGCAUCCUUUCGGGACAGGGCUUCAGGACACUGCCAGGCCUACUCACGCAGAUCCUUUGAAAGACACACUACCGGAUGGUCUUCCUUCUCGAGACACCCUGCCCCAAAGACAG